Molecule: signal recognition particle RNA, 148 nt
Filed under: Homo sapiens (human)
Lineage: Eukaryota; Metazoa; Chordata; Mammalia; Primates; Hominidae
Description: Metazoan signal recognition particle RNA
Rfam family: Metazoan signal recognition particle RNA
About the family: The signal recognition particle (SRP) is a universally conserved ribonucleoprotein. It is involved in the co-translational targeting of proteins to membranes.
Source: Rfam by way of RNAcentral
GCCGGGCGUGGUGGCGGGCGCCUGUAAUCCCAGCUACUUUGGAGGCUGAGGCAGGAGACUUGCUUGAACCCAGGAGGCGGAGGUUGCAGUGAGCUGAGAUCAUGCCACUGCACUCCAGCCUGGGCAACAGAGCGAGAUUCUGUCUCAA